UUACGGCCAUAUCACGUUGAAACACCGGUUGCCAUACGAUCACUGAAGUUAAGUAACGUCAAACCUAGUCACAACCUAGAUGGGUAACCGCUUGGGAAUAACAGGUGCUGUAAG
This is a non-coding RNA of Acanthosepion pharaonis, 114 nucleotides long. The record is from the annotation of a GenBank genome assembly. Lineage: Eukaryota; Metazoa; Mollusca; Cephalopoda; Sepiida; Sepiidae.